CGAAUUUUAGAAUUUCUGUUUCUGAUUUCUGUUUCUGAUUUCUGAUUUAGAGAUUUCUGAUGCAUCAUAAAAUAUUGUAGGUUUCUCUGUUCUCAACUUCUCAGUAUAUGGUCGCAGAUUGUGAGAUUGACGCCGAAAACCUCAAACGCUGCCUUGAAUUCUUCGCCUGUCCAGUUUGCUAUGGUCAAUACUCGAUUCCAAAAUAAUAGAUGUGAAGCUUAACAAAUCUUAGAAACGUUUUCUGCCAAACACAAUUAUGUUGGAUACUUAUUUUACGACGAUGAACUAUCAAACUGUGUUCGAAAGUACUCUGCAUCGGAUCCAAAAGCUACAUAUCAUGAGAAAAAUUCCAAUCCAAAGAAGAAAAAUACCAAGAUAAGGAUGAAGAUUACACUUAUGCCAACUUUGACUCAAUCGUGAAACAGCUCAAGCUGAUAAAAUCGUUCCUCUCUGUAAAGAUUUGAUUGCUGCGGUCGGUGCUAAAGAAAAAUUAUCUACUCCUAGUGUGAUUCCGAAGACGUUUUCUUCUUGUAUAAAAGAACUGUUUGGUACAGCUACCAAAUAACAUGAACCGAGCUCGUUCAACGAUGAAAUAUUUGCUGAUGUUUUGCAAAUGCCGUUCAUUUUUCAAGCAAAUGGAUCUGCUUUUGAGAAUUUCUUCAGAAGUUCGUUGAAAUGGAGCUGAUGGUUGGAAGACGAGAUACAAAUGUUGAACUCGUUGUACCGAAUAGCUAGAUGAUACGAAUACACUGCUAAAGAUUCAAAGUUUCAUGGAAAAAAGCUAAUCGCAUUGUAUCGUGGAAAAUUUAGUGGCGAAAAAACUCAAAAAAAUUCAAACUUUUCACUAAGCAUCGGUUUUUAUGAAAAAAUCGGAGUUCUAUGAAGAAAAUGAUGAGAAAAAAAAAUAUCAAGUAUAAAAUUUACAUAGCUUUUAAGCACAAAUUGAAAAAAGGACAAUUUAAACCAAUUGUUUUGAUGAGGAAUUAAAAACUUUUUUCAAUUUUUUAUGCAAAGAAUCAAAUUGUGUUGGGACACAUUUUCCUACUUUUGCAGCUCGAUUGACCUAUUUAUUUCUAGUGAGUUUUAAAAAUUGCAUCUUCGACAAUAAAUUUAAAUUUCUAUUUUUCGUCGUAUUUGGGAAAAAACUAUGGAUACCUACCUUGAAAAAUUGAAAAGGAACAGUGCAAUCUAAUUCAUUUCUUAAUGAAGUAGGUAGAUACUUUUUUUUUUAAAUUCUCUCUUCAAUUUUUUCACUCGCAAAUUUUAUUUUUGGGAAAAAUCUUCGGUCAUUUGAAAAAAUAAAGGGAAACAAAUUUUCAAAGCAUUAUUUUUCUGGGAGGUUUUGGUUGUGAGAUAUUUCAAAUAAACAUAAGAAAUUAGUAAACCCUUUGUUUCGACAUUAAAAAUUAAUAUUUUUCAAUUUUUUCAUCAUUUAUUUCGGUAAAAAACGAAGAACAGCGACAAAUUAAGAGAGUGCAAAAAUGGAUCCUCCUCCCCCCUCUCAAAAAAACGUUCCAAAGUCUGGAAAUUUUCUAAAAUUGGUCACCAUUUUUUUUCAAGACCUGCAAGUUUUACUACUUGAAUAAAAUUUUUAAAAAAAUUUGAAAAAUUGUCUACAAAAAUCGACACUUAAUACAAGUUGUUUACAAUUUAGACAACCGAAGUAAAAAUUUUCAAAAAAAUUUUAAAAUUGACUAAAAAAAUAGAAAUUUUCAAGAUUUUGACGAAAUUUUGUCAAAAUUUGGGAAAAUUUGUUCAAAUGGUUUUAAGAACCGACUGAUUUUUUUUUAAAAAAAAUCGUCAAAUGUUAGAGUUGGCAAAUUUACAAAUUUGAAAAUCUUAAUUUGGUAACUUGAAAAUUUAGCCUUUAGGAAGAUUCUUCUGCCCCCCCUUCAUCCCGACAGACCUUAUUACUGUUCUGUGUAGCGCAUCUGUGAUCUGAUCUGAAUUUUUUUAUUCUUUUAUUCGUCAAAAUUGACAUUUUAUUCAGCAAAUGUUUGAGUUGCCUAUCCUCGUAUCCAAGGCUAUGGACGACUGACUCUUGAAACACACCGUACUUAUAAUAUGGUAAUCCCUUCAUUUUAUUUGAUUAGUUUUUCCCUCCUUCCUGCAUCGAUUUCUUGAUCCGAACACGAUGAAAUUAUUAUCUACUUAGUCCGAACUCUAUAGCACUUGUCCUAAAACCCUCAUUUUUUUCCUUCACUCGUAAAAAACUUCUCGAAAGUGGAAUUCCAUUUAGGGACACCGGUACCUAACUAACAAUUUUUCAACCUCGAGUAUUUAUAAUGAUUUCUCUCUCUGUGGAAAGAAAAAUACUAUAUAGGGAUCGUAAUUAGUCCGUAGGUGGAGGUCGCGUACCAGGUUACUGCGGAGUGCUGCUGUACGAUGAACACUUGGUGUACUCGACGGUGAUGCUGAUGUUUAAUAGCGUCGAAAAUAAGGGGCAGAGAUAGGAAUGAGAGUAAAAUAAGUAUAAGAUGGUGGAAUUUUACGAUUGUUUUCAAUUGCCGGAGAUAGUUUGUCGUGGUAUUACGAUAAAGUACACACCGAUAUAGUGCUGCGGUGCGGUCGAGGAGAAAAAGCAUUUUCUCCCACGCGUUAAUUUUCGAAAGCGCAACGAAAACGAGUCAAGUUAAAAAUAGUAUAAGAGUAUCACUAUUAAAGGAACCGCGGUGUUUCGAUAUUACUGCAUUUAAAAGUUUUUUUCUAUCUUUUAAAUUGGCGUAUCUACGUUAUAGAGUAAAAAAUCGUGUGCUGGGGGAGAGACACGUUGUGGUUCGUGGGAGCGAAUUUCGAACCCCCUAGAUACGGUUUACCAAAUUCGAACUGCACGAUGAGAAAGAAAUCGCGCGUUAAUUUAUAAAACGCGUUCGCAAGCUGAUUUUUUUCCCUCUGUUGGCAUUUUUUUUUUUACGAUGAGAGUAAGGCGAGCAUUGCGCCAGGUUUUUGUUAUUGCUUUUUUAACGUCGCUCGUUUGUUCGUUCGGUCGCUUUAAAAAGCUGCCACGCGAAUAAAGCCUGACUAAAAAUAACCGAGUAAUUAAGCUGCAAAGAAUUUUCAAUACUAAUUCCAAAGUUGAAUUGUGUUUCUGUUUCCAGCAUUGUGAUUGUGUGUGAGCUCUCGCGUGUAUUCUGCAAAAUGCUUGUGCUGUACGAAUGUUGGACUGGAGGGGUUAUCUCGGUGUUCACUUUAUUACUUCUUCUUACGAUUUUAUUUUCCCUCGUGACAAUAUUUUUACAUAAAAAAUUGAUCAUUUCAACAAGGAUCACUAUUACUUAUUGUAAUAUAGUCUAUGUACUAUUUACAAAUACUAACUCUAACUCUAAGAGGCGAUUUAUCAAAAUUACCUAUUCGUAAUUGGAGAUUAAUGAAUUACAUUUACGUGUGUUUACAUCUACCUACCUUUGAUCCAAAAAAAAAACUUUCGAAGCAUUUUUCUGUUUACGAAGUCGUUCACUUGAAAAAAGGUACCCUCGUUGUGCAACCUCAACCUUAUUGAUAUGAAGUACAUAAUUUUAUUAUGUGUUUUUUCUCCCUCCUUUCCUUUUUUUACGAGUAUUUCUUUGAGAAGUGUUUCGUUGAAUAUCUACAUUUUGUACGAUAGAUGUAGAAAAUAUUGAAAGUUACCAUAGGUGUAAUGUAUCUAUAAUUUAUCUAUGUUCAAUAAAAAUUGGCAUUUUUCAUUAACGUUGUUAACGUAUUAAAGUACGAGUAAUGUACAAAUAAGUUAGUACUCACGUUAUGUACUUGGGAACGUUGCAAUAAAAAUCGUUAUUUGUUGCACUGUUAA
Molecule: long non-coding RNA, 3790 nt
Organism: Planococcus citri (citrus mealybug)
Lineage: Eukaryota; Metazoa; Arthropoda; Insecta; Hemiptera; Pseudococcidae
Exons: 6
Source: RefSeq, a predicted model, not a curated record